RNAcentral lists this non-coding RNA (112 nucleotides) under Mycolicibacterium chubuense. Its description in RNAcentral is "Mycobacterium chubuense TPP sequence". It matches the Rfam family "TPP riboswitch aptamer (THI element)". From Rfam's summary of the family: Vitamin B(1) in its active form thiamin pyrophosphate (TPP) is an essential coenzyme that is synthesised by coupling of pyrimidine and thiazole moieties in bacteria. Lineage: Bacteria; Bacillati; Actinomycetota; Actinomycetes; Mycobacteriales; Mycobacteriaceae. RNAcentral also lists the same sequence under 1 other name. The record is from RNAcentral.
AGUCGUCCACGCGGGAGCGCACGCCAAGAGCGCUGAGAGGACGGCUGACGCGCCGUCGACCGUACGAACCUGACCGGGUAAUGCCGGCGUAGGGAGAUGCCAUGAGUGACGU